GACGAACGCUGGCGGCGUGCUUAACACAUGCAAGUCGAACGGUAAGGCCCUUCGGGGUACACGAGUGGCGAACGGGUGAGUAACACGUGGGUGAUCUACCCUGCACUUCGGGAUAAGCCUGGGAAACUGGGUCUAAUACCGGAUAGGACCACUGCCUGCAUGGGUGGUGGUGGGAAGCUUUUGCGGUGUGGGAUGGGCCCGCGGCCUAUCAGCUUGUUGGUGGGGUGAUGGCCUACCAAGGCGACGACGGGUAGCCGGCCUGAGAGGGUGACCGGCCACACUGGGACUGAGAUACGGCCCAGACUCCUACGGGAGGCAGCAGUGGGGAAUAUUGCACAAUGGGCGCAAGCCUGAUGCAGCGACGCCGCGUGAGGGAUGACGGCCUUCGGGUUGUAAACCUCUUUCAGCACCGACGAAGCGCAAGUGACGGUAGGUGCAGAAGAAGGACCGGCCAACUACGUGCCAACAGCCGCCGCUG
This 478-nucleotide ribosomal RNA is filed under the name uncultured bacterium. Its description in RNAcentral is "partial 16S ribosomal RNA". It matches the Rfam family "Bacterial small subunit ribosomal RNA", at positions 28 to 523 of the family's 1533-position model. The record is from RNAcentral.